AGGAAGUUGGAGAGCCUUGAAGCACUGAAGAAAACCUUUAAGAAGUUGGACCAUGAUGUAAAUAUACAAGACUUUUUGGGUUCAAGGUUUGUGUUUAUUUUGAUGAAUCUUUUAAAUCUUAAGGGAUUAACCCUCAUGAAAGAACUAACGUUUUUUUUUUCCCCUCCUUUCGCAACACCCAAUGAAUUGAGGAAUUAUCCAACCAAUUGAGGAUGAUGUGAGCUCAACUUACAGAAGCACACAAGAGACUGAGUUGCAACUUUGAAGCUCAUAUUUGUUAAAUGUUGUGUUGAUGCUGGUUUAGGUGUUUGAGGUAAUGAAAAAGCAAGAGGAGACGAGGCUGACAGAAUUGACUACAAUAGGGGCAGAAUUUAAAGCUAUGCAAGCUGAAGCUGAAACUGUAUGAUUUCCAUUUCUUUAUCAAUUUUUUAUUGAAUUCUCUGCAUUUUGGUAAUUCAUAGUGCCUCGUGAGAAAUAAAAUGAAAAGGGAAGUAACUUGUUCUGCCUUAGUUUCAUGUAAUUGUGAAACUGAUAAGCCGACUCCUUUACAUUGGUUCUAUUGGGUCUAAAUUUAAUCCACGCACCAUACCAGCUUGGGUUACUAAGGGAUAUUCAGAGGAGAGGGGAUUGAUGAAUCAAUCCCAUUUGGCAAUCCUUAAAAGCAUAGACGUUACAAACAGAGUAGUAGCCAGAAUGGUUGGUUGCACCUCUGUAGCUCACCAAAUUAGGCUUUCCAACAGCUCAAACAUUACCCAAUUGACUAAAAACUAGCUCAGAGGAAGCAAACUUAGCUAUCACUCUCAGGAGCUCUAGAGUCCACAAGGCAAAGAUAUUUUUGAUGAGUUAAAAAAAUGGUCUUUUUCUAUUUCUUUGGUUCUUCUCAAUAUAUGGAAAUUUGUUUUUUGAACCACAUGCAAAUUAAGGCUGGUAACCACAGAUGUGAGUAAAAUUAUUUUGAUAUGUAACAAUGAAUUACCUUUUGCCUAAAGGCGGUUCUGAAAAAAAAAAUUAUUAUGUUGGGAUGUUGGAAUAUACUUCAAAGUCAAAGGGAAAUUAGCAUUACUUGAAAAAAAAAACUUGUGGUAUGCAUUUUUGGAUAGGGAACUUUAUGAUUAUGAUUUCUAAUGAGUUAUUUUUCUCUACUGAAUCAUUUUUCUAUUUUGGAAUGAUUGUUGUAUUCAUAGGUGUAUUAAGUAGGAUUCUCAUGAAAAACUAAAGUAAUAAAAAAGACAAAUAAUUGUUUAGAAUGCCUAAAUUCACCUUAAUUUUUAUUUUAUUUAAUAAGUUCUUGUGGGAGUAGAAAUGUAGUUGUGGGCUACUUAAUACAAAGUUUAUAAUGUCCUCUAUCCAUCUAAGCUUUAACUCAACACAAGGAGUUCAAAGUGGAAAAUUAUGAAGCAUGUUAAAAUAACAAUAUCUUAAACCUUGAAUCAAAUAUAACAAGCAUCCUAGUAGUAUUAUCCUGCCAAGAUCCUCUCGUACAUAUUAUUUAUAUACAUGCUAAGUAUAUAUGUACAUAUGUAAUAGAUGGUAGUCUGCAAAUGUUAUCUGAUAUUAAGGGUCCUCUAAUUGUUUGAAAAAAUGCCUGAUUAAAAAAAAAAAAAACUGUGUUUGCUUAUCCAUGAUGACUGAACAAUCACAAGUGGAAUGAUAAUUGAGUUGAUUUUGGAACCAAUGUCCUUUAUACAAACUGUUAUGCAUAUUCUUUCCUUUUUUCUACAGCAUUUGCUUGGAUGUGUGUUGGAGGAGCCAUUUAUCAAAAUACUUGACAUUUAUGUUUUCCUCAUAAACUUCAAGUUUAUGUUGAGAAAACUACAAGGGCAUUUUCAAAUAUUUUAACUACCUAAAUUUCAACUUUAUGUUGAGAACUUAGAUGUUGAGAAAACUGCAAGGGCAUUUACAAAUAUUUUAACUACCAAAAUUUCAACUUUAUGUUGAGAAUUUAGAUAUUGCACUUUGUGUGUUUUGAAUGGAUGUAUAAAUUUUGGGCACUGCUGAGCUAGAUGAGUUUUUUUUUUUAUUUAUUUUUACCUCCUAAUUUUCUGUAGUUAUAUACUUCUCUAAA
Molecule: non-coding RNA, 2065 nt
Organism: Camellia sinensis
Lineage: Eukaryota; Viridiplantae; Streptophyta; Magnoliopsida; Ericales; Theaceae
Source: RefSeq, a predicted model, not a curated record